CCUUGUACACACCGCCCGUCAUACCAUGGGAGUUGGUUUUACCUGAAGGCGGUGCGCUAACCCGCAAGGGAGGCAGCCGACCACGGUAGGGUCAGCGACUGGGGUG
This 106-nucleotide ribosomal RNA is filed under the name uncultured bacterium. RNAcentral's name for it is "partial 16S ribosomal RNA". It matches the Rfam family "Bacterial small subunit ribosomal RNA", at positions 1379 to 1482 of the family's 1533-position model. The record is from RNAcentral.